Long non-coding RNA from Myotis lucifugus (little brown bat), 439 nucleotides. RefSeq lists it as uncharacterized. The transcript is spliced from 3 exons. NCBI's taxonomy places the organism in Eukaryota, Metazoa, Chordata, Mammalia, Chiroptera, Vespertilionidae. The record is from RefSeq and is a predicted model, not a curated record.
CCCGCGGUGCCGGCGGAGGCAGCCCAGGCGCCCUCCUCCAUCCCCAGCGGGGGAGGCGCAGGCGGGCCACGCUGCCCACCGCACCCCUCUAAGGAGAGGCUCUGAAACAGUGGCUGACUGACUGAUAAAAACGAACACAAAACCACAAAACCCACCGCGUCUGCGUGCGGCUCACAGAUCCUACAACGGUCGCUGAGACCGGGGUGCAACUACCUUACUGAUGGGGAAUCAGACCAGAGGGUGUCCUCCCAGGUCACACGCUGAAGAGCUGUGACUCAUCUCACCCUACAUGCCGCCUCCAAGUGGCUGGCUGUGCGGCUCCACCCCCACCACAGUGUGUGAGCUGUUGUGCAGGUGCUGACAGAGCAAUACAACUAAACAAGAAACAAAACAAAAGCAUACAAUGAUCCCUACAACAACCACACAAACAACUACAGAG